AUUGAACGCUGGCGGCAGGCCUAACACAUGCAAGUCGAGCGGAUGAAGGGAGCUUGCUCCUGGAUCCAGCGGCGGACGGGUGGGUAAUGCCUAGGAAUCUGCCUGGUAGUGGGGGAUAACGUCCGGAAACGGGCGCUAAUACCGCAUACGUCCUGAGGGAGAAAGUGGGGGAUCUUCGGACCUCACGCUAUCAGAUGAGCCUAGGUCGGAUUAGCUAGUUGGUGGGGUAAAGGCCUACCAAGGCGACGAUCCGUAACUGGUCUGAGAGGAUGAUCAGUCACACUGGAACUGAGACACGGUCCAGACUCCUACGGGAGGCAGCAGUGGGGAAUAUUGGACAAUGGGCGAAAGCCUGAUCCAGCCAUGCCGCGUGUGUGAAGAAGGUCUUCGGAUUGUAAAGCACUUUAAGUUGGGAGGAAGGGCAGUAAGUUAAUACCUUGCUGUUUUGACGUUACCAACAGAAUAAGCACCGGCUAACUUCGUG
RNAcentral lists this ribosomal RNA (484 nucleotides) under uncultured bacterium. RNAcentral's name for it is "partial 16S ribosomal RNA". It matches the Rfam family "Bacterial small subunit ribosomal RNA", at positions 30 to 507 of the family's 1533-position model. The record is from RNAcentral.